GCAGAUUCGGCUCGACCCCCCCGGAGCCGAAUCCAGGACGGCCCCCGUCACCCCCUGACGGGGGUCGUUCCCU
Actinoplanes sp. N902-109 is the source of this 73-nucleotide regulatory RNA element. It matches the Rfam family "6C RNA". The record is from Rfam. NCBI's taxonomy places the organism in Bacteria, Bacillati, Actinomycetota, Actinomycetes, Micromonosporales, Micromonosporaceae.